Molecule: long non-coding RNA, 707 nt
Organism: Eurytemora carolleeae
Lineage: Eukaryota; Metazoa; Arthropoda; Copepoda; Calanoida; Temoridae
Exons: 2
Source: RefSeq, a predicted model, not a curated record
CUCAACUCUAUCCAGGUUUGUCCAGGAGAUAUCAGGGUUCAACUCUAUCCAGGAGAUGUCUUGGUUUACAGUUCAGAUUAUUGGAAACAUGAAGUCAAUACUCUUGGUUCAGAUCUUAGUAUUUCUCUCCUGGUUGAAUACUAACCAUAACACAAUAAUAUACUAGCUUGGAAGCACAACUAUGCCAUUAAACUAAAAAAGUCAACUUAUUCAACUUUUUUAACCAAUCUAAGAAAACUCCUGUGGCUCUACCGAGUUCACCAAUAAAAAUUACAGGCAAAUCGGUCCAGGAUAUACGAAUAAACAAACACACAAAAAGAUUACUACUUUAUAUAUAUAUACAAUAGCUUGGGAACCCAGCUUUGUCCGGAAACUAAAAAUUCACUAUUAAAGUUAACCCAUUCCUUUGGAAUGGUUAAACCAAGCUAAGAACAUCCCUGUGGUUCUAACGGGUUCCCCCCAUUAAAAUUGGAGGCAAAUCGGUCAUGGGGUUGAUUAGUUAUGAUCGGAAAUACAAACAGACAAAAAGAGACAUACUGCUUUAUAGAUAUAGACUAUAGAAAUUGUUUAUGUACAGUAAGAAUGAGAAACUUUCUAAUUAAUAUUGCAUCCAAUGUCAUCAAAAUAAGUUAUUUAACAACAAUGCAAUAUUGUAAUAAUGUUAAUUUUUUAUCUUCAAUGAUAAUACAAUAAAAUAUUAAUUAUUA